Ostrea edulis (European flat oyster) is the source of this 658-nucleotide long non-coding RNA. RefSeq lists it as uncharacterized. The transcript has 4 exons. The record is from RefSeq and is a predicted model, not a curated record. NCBI's taxonomy places the organism in Eukaryota, Metazoa, Mollusca, Bivalvia, Ostreida, Ostreidae.
UCAAAUGUUCCUUAUCAAUUCUCUAUUGACUGAAAGCGAAACGGAAAGAAAACUGUACAGUAAACUCUGAAAGGGACCCAGUGAUGAACUGUCUUCUCUUGAUCGAUCAUUAAAGUCCACUUAUUACUGUGGUUUGCCCAGAUUUUUGAAAAGCUAUGACAGUCCCGGUUGUAUGUAUCGUCUAUGCCUGUUUAGUGCUGAUUGGGUUGUUGUUUAUCUGCUGUUUCUUUGUAUUCGUUAGAGUUCGGAGCGUUCGCGGUAGAGUAGGCAGAAGUAAUGCAGAUGAAAACUCCCACGGUAUUACAACCGAAGAACUGGACACUGAGCAGCCCACAGAUGCACCUCAGAGCGGUUCAUCACAAGCACCCACACAUGGUCUUCCAAAGGAACCUCUGUCCUACAUUGAGCUCAGCAAGAGGAGAAUAAAGAUAUAGGAUUUAAAAAUUAAAAAAUUAAAGAUGAGCUUAUGUUAAAUUAUAUAAAUUGUGGAUCAUCUCGUUAGACGAAUGGGGCGUGUCCUAUUUCGUUCCACACUUAACAUUGAUUGCCAAGCCUUCUUUCGUUAUUCACUGUUAUUAUUAGCCAUAUUAUGUUAAUAUUUUCGUUUGUUCUGAUGAAGGGACGAGUUGUCCCGAAAAGACAAUCUGGUUGUUCGUGU